This is a long non-coding RNA of Polypterus senegalus (gray bichir), 876 nucleotides long. RefSeq lists it as uncharacterized. Lineage: Eukaryota; Metazoa; Chordata; Cladistia; Polypteriformes; Polypteridae. The record is from RefSeq and is a predicted model, not a curated record. The transcript has 2 exons.
UUUAAUAGGUUAGACAACGAUUUUGUCUGCUCAGUCUGCUGAAAGAAGGAAAUAUAAAUAGACUGUUGAACCGUUCCUGGUUUAACACCGGGGAUCAUGUGAUGAUUUUGACAAGAGUAAAAAAAAACAGCACAUACUUAUUUUUUAUUGAGGAAGGACAGCAGCGACAGUUGUUAAAUCCAAGGAAUACAUUUUCUACUAUUCACAGCCACCCUUCCUUCCUGACGGAUAACAGCAAUCCUCCUCUUCACAAUUCUAAUCUUAAUUAGAUGUGCCUGAAAUCGUUACCAGCAUCAGAGACUGUCCUUCAAAAAUAUUGUGCAAAGAGGUCCUGUGCCAGGGAGUGUACUGUGACACCAUGAUUCUUGGCUUAUUGACAGAAUACUGGAGCAUGUCAAAAACGUCCUACUAUGAAACUACCUGUAGGAGCCACAUGUUGAGCACUGGCCAUGCCUCCAGGCAGGUCAUCCUAAUCACGUUUUAAACAAUUCAUUUCAACCACUUCAGAAGGGGCUCAAAGUAAAAUUCCAUAAAUCAUAUAGUUUUUAUUCUCUAUAUAUAGUGCGUAUUUAAUCUUUAAAAUCACAAAGUAUAGACAACUGAAGCUGUGUUUUCAGUACAGGUUUUAUUUUUUUUACUGAUCAGAUCAUCUAACAUCCAGUGCAUUUGUAUUUUAAUAACUGCUAAUCACACUUUUUAUAGCAUUUUUUAACACUGAUAAUUUGAGAAAAUUAAUUUUGAAUGUCUGAAUUCAUUGGUGUUGUAUUCCCGAGCAGUUAUUGCAGGCACAUUUGAAGCUCCAGAUAGUUCAAAAUAAUUGCAAAUAAAGAAUGUAUUUUGUUUUAAUUGUGAAUAAAGAAUUUAUCUUGUUUAAGA